AGCUACACAAUCAGAUGAGGAUGGUCAUUUUCAUUUUGUGAGCUGCGAACGGGCAGAAAGCUACGCAACGAGAUGAGGAUGGUCAUUUUCAUUUUGUGAGCUGCGAACGGGCAGAAAGCUACACAACCAUAUGAGGAUGGUCAUUGUCAUUUUCUGAGCUGCGAACGGGCAGUAAGCUACACAACGAGAUGAGGAUGGUCAUUGUCAUUUUCUGAGCUGCGAACGGGCAGAAAGCUACACAACCAGAUGAGGAUGGUUAUUGUCAUUUUCUGAGCUGCGAACGGGCAGAAAGCUACACAACCAGAUGAGGAUGGUCAUUGUCAUUUUCUGAGCUGCGAACGGCCAUAAAGCUACACAACCAGAUGAGGAUGGUCAUUGUCAUUUUCUGAGCUGCGAACGGGCAUAAAGCUACACAACCAGAUGAGGAUGGUCAUUGUCAUUUUCUGAGCUGCGAACGGGCAUAAAGCUACACAACCAGAUGAGGAUGGUCAUUUUCAUUUUGUGAGCUGCGAACGGGCAUAAAG
Sycon ciliatum is the source of this 524-nucleotide long non-coding RNA. RefSeq lists it as uncharacterized. The transcript has 9 exons. The record is from RefSeq and is a predicted model, not a curated record. NCBI's taxonomy places the organism in Eukaryota, Metazoa, Porifera, Calcarea, Leucosolenida, Sycettidae.